CAAAGUGCUCAUAGUGCAGGUAGUUGUAUUCAUGUUCUACUGUAAUAUGGGCACUUACAGU
Molecule: microRNA precursor, 61 nt
Filed under: Xenopus laevis (African clawed frog)
Lineage: Eukaryota; Metazoa; Chordata; Amphibia; Anura; Pipidae
Description: Xla-Mir-17-P4c3_pre stem-loop
Rfam family: mir-17 microRNA precursor family
About the family: This family represents the microRNA (miRNA) precursor mir-17, family, which includes mir-20, mir-91, and mir-103. miRNAs are transcribed as ~70nt precursors (modelled here) and subsequently processed by the Dicer enzyme to give a ~22nt product. In this case the mature sequence comes from the 3' arm of the precursor. The extents of the hairpin precursors are not generally known and are estimated based on hairpin prediction.
Source: RNAcentral